This 434-nucleotide ribosomal RNA is filed under the name uncultured archaeon. RNAcentral describes it as "bacterial SSU rRNA". It matches the Rfam family "Archaeal small subunit ribosomal RNA", at positions 19 to 458 of the family's 1478-position model. The record is from RNAcentral.
GGACCUGACUGCUAUCGGAUUGAUACUAAGCCCUGCGAGUCAUUGUAGCAAUACAAGGCAUACGGCUCAGUAACGCGUAGUCAACCUAACCUAUGGACGGGAAUAACCUCGGGAAACUGAGAAUAAUGCCCGAUAGAACAUUAUGCCUGGAAUGGUUUAUGUUCCAAAUGAUUUAUCGCCGUAGGAUGGGACUGCGGCCUAUCAGUUUGUUGGUGAGGUAAUGGCCCACCAAGACUAUUACAGGUACGGGCUCUGAGAGGAGUAGCCCGGAGAUGGGUACUGAGACACGGACCCAGGCCCUAUGGGGCGCAGCAGGCGAGAAAACUUUGCAAUGUGCGAAAGCACGACAAGGUUAAUCCGAGUGGUUUCUGCUAAAGAAACCUUUUGUCAGUCCUAGAAACACUGAUGAAUAAGGGGUGGGCAAGUUCUGGUGU